CAAAACGACUCUCGGCAACGGAUAUCUCGGCUCUCGCAUCGAUGAAGAACGUAGCGAAAUGCGAUACUUGGUGUGAAUUGCAGAAUCCCGUGAACCAUCGAGUCUUUGAACGCAAGUUGCGCCCGAAGCCGUCAGGCCGAGGGCACGCCUGCCUGGGCGUCAC
This 163-nucleotide ribosomal RNA is filed under the name Pseudocydonia sinensis. RNAcentral describes it as "Chaenomeles sinensis 5.8S ribosomal RNA". It matches the Rfam family "5.8S ribosomal RNA". From Rfam's summary of the family: 5.8S ribosomal RNA (5.8S rRNA) is a component of the large subunit of the eukaryotic ribosome. RNAcentral also lists the same sequence under 1 other name. The record is from RNAcentral. Lineage: Eukaryota; Viridiplantae; Streptophyta; Magnoliopsida; Rosales; Rosaceae.